AGCAGCCACGGUAAUUCCAGCUCCAAUAGCGUAUAUUAAAGUUGCUGCAGUUAAAAAGCUCGUAGUUGAAUUUCGGGACCAUCAUGUCGGUCGUGCCUCGGUACGUACUGGCAUUGUUGGUUUCUUCCCUCUGACGAACCAUGAUGUCAUUUAUUUGGUGUCGUGGGAAAUCAGGACUGUUACUUUGAAAAAAUUAGAGUGUUUAAAGCAGGCUCACGCUUGAAUACAUUAGCAUGGAAUAAUGAAAUAGGACGUUUGAUUCUAUUUUGUUGGUUUCUAGGAUCGACGCAAUGAUUAAUAGGGAUAGUUGGGGGCAUUAGUAUUCAAUUGUCAGAGGUGAAAUUCUUGGAUUUAUUGAAGACUAACUACUGCGAAAGCAUUUGCCAAGGAUGUUUUCAUUAAUCAAGAACGAAAGUUAGGGGAUCGAAGACGAUCAGAUACCGUCGUAGUCUUAACCAUAAACUAUGCCGACUAGGGAUCGGAUGAUGUUAAUUUUUUAAUGACUCAUUCGGCGCCUUAC
Molecule: ribosomal RNA, 520 nt
Filed under: uncultured Glomus
Lineage: Eukaryota; Fungi; Glomeromycota; Glomeromycetes; Glomerales; Glomeraceae
Description: SSU rRNA
Rfam family: Eukaryotic small subunit ribosomal RNA
Source: RNAcentral